This 460-nucleotide ribosomal RNA is filed under the name uncultured bacterium. Its description in RNAcentral is "partial 16S ribosomal RNA". It matches the Rfam family "Bacterial small subunit ribosomal RNA", at positions 338 to 795 of the family's 1533-position model. The record is from RNAcentral.
CCUACGGGAGGCAGCAGUGAGGAAUAUUGGUCAAUGGACGAGAGUCUGAACCAGCCAAGUAGCGUGAGGGAUGACUGCUCUAUGGGUUGUAAACCUCUUUUAUAAAGGAAUAAAACGCGGCACGUGUGCCUUUUUGCAUGUACUUUAUGAAUAAGGAUCGGCUAACUCCGUGCCAGCAGCCGCGGUAAUACGGAGGAUCCGAGCGUUAUCCGGAUUUAUUGGGUUUAAAGGGUGCGUAGGCGGGUUGUUAAGUCAGUGGUGAAAGUUUGUGGCUCAACCGUAAAAUUGCAUUUGAUACUGGCGGUCUUGAGUACAUUUGAGGUAGGUGGAAUGCGUGGUGUAGCGGUGAAAUGCUUAGAUAUCACGAAGAACCCCGAUUGCGAAGGCAGCUUACUAAGCUAUGACUGACAUUGAUGCUCGAAAGUGGGGGUAUCGAACAGGAUUAGAUACCCUUGUAGUC